CAACCUUGCUAUCUGGAUCUUGCUCAAGGCAGGCGUCAAGGACAGCAUCGGAGAUUUGGUCGCAGAGCUUGUCUGGGUGUCCCUCGUUCACCGACUCGGAGGUAAACAGAAAUGUCUCUGCCAUCUUUGAACUUUCUAAACUGCACGACAACCCUACAAUCAGAACCUAAAUGCAAAUCCACAAAAAGGGAACAUAACAGUAGCAUAAUAUUCAGCAAGGGAAAAGCUUUUGAGACAAAAGUACUGUUUUGUAACCAUACAAACAAGCAAUUAACCAAAGGGAAGUGGAUCUAGCAGAAGCACGUGACAAACCAAAUCUCUCUAAUGGAGUGUCUAUAUUUAGUAGCAGAUAGUGUUGCAAGCAGAAUUAAGUACUAAAGUUUUAAUUUAAACAAGUAUAAAGAAAAAACAUAAUACUUACAAGCAUGUACAACAUCAAAAUCAACAGAAACCCUCUAAUCAGUAAACCAUAUCUAAGCAAGCACAACGUCAGAGUUUAACUAGAAACCAAAAAUCCCCAAAAGUUAAUACUUUCACAAACUAUCUUUAGAGAAAGGCCGUUUGUGUUCGAUAUGGAGUAGAUCUGAAAGGGUAAAGAGUUUCUGCAGCAACUAAAGAACCAUAACAGUAAUAACAAUAACCAAUCAAAACCCCUUCGGAGAAACAGAGAUCGACCCAGGGAAGGAAAAAACAAAGCAAAUCGACCCAUAAGUGCAAGAUCCCAAAUCAAGAAAGCGUGAAGAAAGAGAAGUUUAGAAGAGACGAAAAGAAGAAAAGUAACCUGAAUUGUAGAAUAGCAGAGAAUGAGAGAGUAUGAACGAGGGUGGGUGAAAUGUAGGCACUAAGUUGACAUUUAUAGGGAAAAUGGGUGAGUGGUGCAAUUUAAUGACGGAAAUGCCCUUAGUAAGAUAAACAUAUUGCAUAUUGGCUGGUUAGACAUCAAUAUAUUCUUUUACACCAUUUCUUAAAUCUAUUUUUUAUUGCUUAAAAUUUAUUAUAAAUUAUGAGAGAGUAAUUCACUGAGUUAUAUAGUCUAUAUUUUUUAUUUUCCAUAUUUUUUAGUUCAAUCAUUAAAAAUUUAUUCAAACAAUAUGUUUAUGUUCCCAUAAUGGUCUCUUUUAUAAAUAUCAUAUUUAUUUUAUAUAUAAAUGUAUUUUGGAAUGAAAAAAAAUACUAGUAUUGAUGAGUAUCCCGAGAUAAAAUAUGUGAUGGCACGGGCGAAUAGUAAAUAACGGGUAUUUAAUACUCGUUUAUAACAUAUUGUUGAUAUUCAUUACUUAUAAAAAGUUAAAAUAAAAAUUUAACUUAUGUUUUCUUAAAUUAAAUUUAAUUAAAAAUAAUAUUUUAUAUUCUAUUUUACUGAAUUUAAUUUAAUUUAUAUUUUAUUUUAUUUUAUUGUAACUUUUUAGAUUUAACUUUAAAAUUUUAUAAAAUAUAUCUUUUAAAUAUUAGUGAAUAUCCAUUAUAUAAAUUUUAAAAUACUCACAACUAUUUAUUAAACUGUUAUAAGAAGAAUAAAAUAUGGAUAAGGGAUGAAUUUUUUUUUUUCGAAUGAGAUUGCAUGUAGGCAUUAUCUCUGUAAACAAUCCAGUCUAACUUAUUACCAUCUCUAGUUAGAAUGAUAUUUUUAUUAAAAUUUACAUUUUUAUUAAAUAUUUUUAGAAUUUUUUUUAAAUCAAUUCUAACUAUGUUAUUAAAAUACUACUAUAAUGUUUAUGUUUGAUGUUUGUUACCAAUAAUUUUAACAUUUAUAUAAAAAUUAAAUUUAAUCUUAAUUUAAUAAAACAAAGUUGUUUCACUUUUGAAAAAUGAAACUAAAUCCUAUCAAAACAGUCAAUAUAUUAAUAAAAUUAAGGGUUAAAUAUGUUUUUAGUCCUUAUAAUAUGGAUCGAUUUUGGUUUUAGUCCCUCUUUCAAACUAGGAUACAAUUUAGUCCUUCAAUUUUAGAAAACUCUAGUUUUAAUCCUUUUUAUCAAAUUUUUUUAACUUUAUUUGUUGUUUCAAGCAUGUUUCAUUAUAGCAUUUUGAUUGUUUACACUGUUUGACACAUUUUUGUUUCAAUGUUAACUGAGAAACGCGUUUGAAACAACAAAUAAAGUUAAAAAAAUUUGGUAAAAAGGACUAAAACCAGAGUUUUCUAAAGUUGAAGGACUAAAUUGUACCUUAAUUUGAAAGAGAGACUAAAACCAAAAUCACCCAAAGUACAUGGACUAAAAAUAUAUUUAAUCCUAGAAUUAAAUAUAAAACAAUUAUGUAUGACAUAAUCAUUGUCAUAUCGUAUUAACAGUGUUAGGUGACGCUAACUUGACCCAAGAUCAACAUAGAAUAAUAAUAAUAAAAUAAAAAAAAUUAAAAAACAAAAAUAAAAUCCCGAUAAAGUGACAGGUGUAUUCAUAUUUUUAAGUAUUAAUGGAAAUAACUAAUUAUAUUAAUUUUUCAAAAGCUGACACCUAAGUAAGAAAAAAAAUAAAAUUGGGGAAUAUAUUUGUAAUAUCUUGAUAAAAUUUGAAAAGAAAAACGUAUUUAAAUCUUUCCAAAAUUAUCAGGAUAUCAUUGAUUGUUAAUUAAUCUCAUUACAAUCAAUUAUAUUUUUUUUAUAACAUUUGUUAAUAUGUAUAUUAAGGAUGAAAAGUGUAAUUAAAUUUUUUAGUUACAGAUUAAUUAGACUAAUUAUUUAUAAUUUCAAAGAUUAAAUUCAUCAUACAUAUUUUAAUCAACUGUAAUAAUAUAUUUUUUUUAUCUAAAUACGUUUCAAACUGGUAUAUCCAAAUUAAAUGUCAGAUAUAUUCUCUCACAUAAAAAGACUGAAAUGUCGUUUAACACACAAAAACAAUCUAACAUUAUUGAAUUAAAAAAAAAAUAUUCCUUUAUUUUAAAAUUUGAAAAAUAAAAUGUGUUAAAAUUUAAAACAAAAAAAAAAAAUUCAAAUUCGCCAAGUAUAAAUAUACCUAACCCUAAUUUAUAAUUUUACAAAUUAUUUUGUUAGUUUUAUAGUAAUUCGAUUGUAAAUUUUAAAGCGUUUUAAGGAAAUAAAAAACAAUAUUUGUAAAGUUAGACAAAAAUAUUUAUUAGUAAGACGGAAAAUACACAAUUAAUAGAAAAGCGUUACAAAUAUAAUUGGUCAACGUUUUUAAUCAAAUAUAAUGUUUUGAUAUCUUAUAUAAAUUAGUCUAUUAGUUAUCCAUUUUUCUUUCGGAAAAACCAAUACUCUGAGAAGAGUUUGUCUCUUAAAUUAAAUUAAUUAUGAUAUACCAUUUUAUAUAGUUUUUUUUUUUUCUUAAAGACCAACUUCAUUUUUUUUUUCUGGUAUCAAUACUAACUAUUGUCCAAAAAAUGAUGAAGCUAAAAUUAAAGUGUUGUUGGCAUGGCGAUUAUAUAAGAAGUAUGAAAGUUUGUAGUUGCUUGGUUUUUGUAAGACAAGGAUGAGACAUAUUCAUAUAUUCAUUAACUAUAAUCCGAAACCGAAUCUUGGCAUUGCAUGUGAAUUAUUCUCCAGCUCAACACAGAGGUGAGACACUACCAUUUUUUGUCUAUUUAAUUUUGAAAUAGGAAAAAUAACCCAAGCAUUAUAUUUAAAAACGAAUAGUCUCAAAUAUAAAAAAAAAAAUGUUGAACAUGGGGUGUCAAAUAUCAACAAAUUUUAUCAUAAUUUAUGAGAUUGUUUCUAAAGUUUCUUUCAUUUAUUGUUUUUAUAGCUUUUUUUUUUUACUUUUAAAUCAAAUUUUAAGAAAGGUUAAAUUAGGAAAAUUAUAAAUAAUACAAUUAAAUGUCACUUUUUAACCUUUUAAUUAAUGUUAAUUAACUAAACAAUACUAUUAUUAUUUGCAUACUGGGUAUAAGUAUGUUCAUGGUGACAAAAUUUGAAGUUGUAUAAAAGAACAUUGUUCUUUCACCUCUUUUCAUGUCAGAUACAAUCUCAAACUCAAAAAAUAUUAAAGAUUUUCGAGACUUAUAUCUUCCUCCAUCAGAUAGAUUUUCAAAUUAUGGAUUUUUCAUUCUCCUCAUCGUCUCUUAACUCAAAUAAUAAUUGGUCUCAAAUAAUGAUUGACCUAUUGUCUUUUGAAAAGGUAUUCACUUUACUCGUAAUUCUUAUUUGUUUUUAAUUUUUUGAGUUAUUAUUGUUUGUCUUUUCCAAAUUUCUCUUUUUUUUUUUCCUCUUUAUCUUCUAUAGUCUUAUUGAUGCAAUCGAUCGUCUCAAAGUUAGUCUAAUAAUGAAGGAACAUACUCAAGUCUAUACUCUCGAUUAUUAUAAUACAUUUUCUAUGGCUAAAAUCAUAACGGUUUGUAUACCUAGGAUAUAGAAUUUUUGUAUGAAGUUAAGAUAGAUUUAAUUACUCACACCUAUAUAUCUAUGACAGUAUGUAAACAUGAUCAUUUAAAACUUUUACGUAAUAGCGAGGAACACAAAUACGAAAUUGACGAACAUGGUAUAAUCAUCACUCCUCAUUUUCCUCUUUUUCUCUAAAUAAACUUUUUUCUGUUUUAAUUUUUUUUUUUCGUAACAAAUACUACAACUGUGAUGAUUUAUGGAUCUGUAAAGGAAAAAAAAUGUUAUUAUUUGUGAACAUUUUGAAGAAGUAUGCUACUUACUAAAGUUUAAUAACUAACUUAGACAUUUAUGAUGUGUUUUAAUUAAUGGAUUAAUUGUUCACAAAGAAUGAGAGGAAUGGACAUGCGAUGUUCAAUUGUAUUUUUUUUUUCAAUAAUUCCUGCAUAAGGUGAAGAGAAUUGAGAGUUUGCACUUCACAUCUGCAUUGCAACUUCUUAUAAUAAAUAAUAAUGUAUGAUAAAUAAUAUUAUUUAUAAUAAUAAAUAAUAGUAAAAUAUAAUAUUAUAUAAUAAUAACAUAUUAAUUUUAAUUAUAAAAACAAAAUAAUAAUCUUACAUUUUAAUUCAUUAAAACUUUAAUUUUUAUCCAUCAUAUGAGUAAAACCACUCACAAACGUCAUCCAAAAUUAAUUCACUCUCACUUUCAAAUCUUUUAAUAAAAACAUAAAAAUUUAACUUUCAAAUUCAUCUAGACAUUCUUUCUCAAUUUCAUCUUCACAAAAGAAGACAUUCUUAAAGUGAGUUUUGACAUAUAAGAUAUAUAAAAUAUAUAGUAUAAACAAUUACAUGUAUAAGAUGGGACCUCAGCAAUAAAUAUCUUUAGUUUCCGAUGACUGAUAAUGAAAUUCUGUACCUUGUAAAUAAAAAGGUUAAAUAAUAUAUGAAAAAACUCACAAUUUUGUUAUUUUUUUUUAUUAAAUAUUUACAUUUGAAAAAUAGAUGAAUGUUUCUGGAAAAAAUAAAGGAGAUUUUUAGAAUUUAGAGAAUGCAUCGGUAUGUUAUUAGUUGUUAAAAUUUAAGGGGUAGUUGUGCAACAAUACUUAGUUUUCACAAUUUUUUAAAAAAAAAAUAUCAGCUUUAAUAUAUUUUUUAAUUUUGAAAGUUAAUUUUGUUUUAUCUUUUUUAUCAUCCAAAUUUUAAACAUUUACAUGUGGAUAUAAUUUAGUGUUUUUGUUUGAAAGAGUCAUGUGAGUGGCAAUAAAAUCCACCGAAGAUACUGUUGGGUGCCACAUUUUUUGUUCAUGUGCUUUGGUUUCUGAAAGAGACACAAUACGAGGGAGAUCAACGGUCUACAUUUGCACACGCGUCGAGGUGAAAUGCACGAUCAGGAUGAGGUACCAUUUUAAUGCCACACUCAAUAGGGCCUCAUUCGUUUGGUAUGCCGGUUACUCACUUUUAUGCUACUUUUAUUUAUUUUAUACAUUCAUUUCAGAUUCUCCAUCAACCUCAACAAAUACACAGUGUUUCGUAACAACGCGAUCACAAUCCAAUACUGUUUCAAAUGUUACAUUUAAAAAAAAAAAAUUAAUAUAUUACUUCAGUAUCUAAUACUCAAAUUAGAAUUAAUUGUUAUUCUAAACUUUGAUUUAUUUUAGAUCUAAAAUGUAUAAAAUAAAUAAAUAUAGUCAUUUUAAUUUAAAAUAUUAAUUUUUUAAACUUGUUAAGUGGUGUUUUAAAUCAAUAUUUAAGUUAAAACGUAUUAAUAAAUAUAAGCCAUUUGAAUGGAAAUCUGAAACAUAUUUCACAUGUAAAAUAGUUUAACAAAAUUGAAUUAAAAUAGUUAUAUUUAUUUAUUUUUUAAAGUUAAAAUGCAUUUAAAUUUGAAAUAAAAAUAAAUUUUAAUUUUAGGUCAAUUUUUUGGAUUAAAAAUAUAUUUAAUAUUAAAAAGAUAAUUUUUUUUUACAUUAAAUCAAUUUUUUAUUGGUUAUUUUAUGUAACUAAAAUACUUUUACGCAAAAAGGGAAAUAAUUAAUAUUUACCAAAAGGAAAUUAUUAAGUUCUUAUUUGUUUGAAUAUCAAACAUGUUAAAAAAUUGAAAUAAAAAAAAAAGGAAUUUAUUAAAUACAAAGACAAAAGUGUGAGAUCAAUCAGUUGAAUUUUCUAUUAGGAAUUCACUUUAUUGGUCAUAGUCAUUGACACCCUCCUGCAGUCAUUUUUAAAUCAAGAAAGGAUCGCCAUUCACCUCCCAAGGAAACCCAACCACAUGUCUGCUCUUAAAUCAAGAGACCCAAUUUAAAUGAAUUAUUUGCUAUAACAACUGCUCUUCUUAAAAAAAAAAAAACAGUUACAAGUAACAAACACACAUAAUAUUUCAAUAUUAAUAUUGUGAAAUCUAUUUGAAAAUUUUCAAUUAGAGCAAAGAUUAAUUAGAUUGUAUAAUUUAAAGAAUAUAAGUCGACCUUGUAAAAGAUGUGAAGUAUUAUUACGAGAAGUAUUAAAAUGCACAUAACUCAAGACAGAGAUUCCUAGAAUCCAUAUCCUAACGGAUAGUAGUAUAUUUUUUAUAUGGCAACAAGAGAUACAUUGGUUGGGCAUACAGGGUACACUUUUUAAAAAAAAUUAUAAAUGAAGUACACAAAAGACCAAAAUAAGAGAAAGGAUAGGAAGAGGAAGAAGGGACACAGAACGUUUUGAAUAUUUGCUAUCACAUGAGCAACUCUCAAAAAACUCCAAGCACAGCGCGGUGGAAUGAAUUGCUUAGGCCUUUUCCCACUUGAGAGGCUUAACAACUUCCCAUGUGAAAUCAGGGUCCUCUCUGCCAAAGUGUCCAUAUGCAGCAGUCUUCAAGAACCGGCUAUUCCCACCCCUCUUCAGAUCAAGGUUGAUGGAAAUCAUACCAGGCCUGAAGUCAAAGUUCUCCUUCACAAUCUNCAGGAUCUCCUUGUCUNGGAUCUUCCCAGUUCCGUAGGUAUCAACGAAAACAGACAAAGGCUCAGGCACACCAAUUGCAUAAGACACUUGCACAAUGCAUCUUCUCGCAAGUCCACUCGCCACAAUGCUCUUAGCAGCCUGCCUCACAAUGUAAGCACCACUCCUAUCAACCUUCGUGGGGUCCUUUCCAGAGAAGGCACCACCGCCAUGAGCACCCCAUCCUCCGUAGGUAUCAAUGAUGAUCUUCCUCCCCGUCAGACCGGCGUCACCAUGAGGACCACCAAUCACAAAACGGCCAGAGGGGUUCAAGUGGAAAAUGGUCUUCUCAUCAAGGUACUUCUCGGGAAUCACGGGCUUGAUCACGUGUUCUUUCAGAUCAGCAGCAAUUUCAUCAUUGGUGACAGUCUCGUCAUGUUGAGUGGAGAUGAGCACGGUGUGGACACGAACUGGAACCAUGGCACCCUUGUCAUUGUAAUACUCAACAGUCACUUGGGUCUUGCCAUCAGGUCUGAGCCAGGGGCAGGUACCGUUCUUCCGAACCUCAGUGAGACGAGCCCCGAGUUUGGUUGCAAGGACGUGGCUCAAGGGCAUCAAUUCAGGGGUCUCGUCGGUGGCAUAGCCGAACAUGUGACCCUGGUCACCGGCACCGAUUUCUUCAGGUCUUUUGGUGAGGUGGCCAUGCACGCCCUGGGCAAUAUCAGGACUCUGCUGCUCAAUGUUCACAAGGACCUUGCAGUUGUCGGCAUCAAGUCCCACAUCGUCUGAGAUGAAGCCGAUGUUCCUGCAGGUGUCACGCACGAUCUUCUCGUAGUCAAUGUUGGCCUUGGUGGUGAUUUCUCCGAAGACCAUGACCAGGUUGGUUUUGGUGCAUGUCUCACAAGCAACCUUGCUAUCUGGAUCUUGCUCAAGGCAGGCGUCAAGNACAGCAUCGGAGAUUUGGUCGCAGAGCUUGUCUGGGUGUCCCUCGUUCACCGACUCGGAGGUAAACAGAAAUGUCUCUGCCAUCUUUAAACUUUUGAACCUGUAAACACACACAUACGAAAAAUGAAAUUAGUACCUGAAGGGGAUAUAAAUUCGCAAAAGGUUGUUAUACGCAUGCCUCAAAUUCAGACAGAAAAACUGAAAACAAGAGUGCCAUUUUCUAACUAAACAGAGGCCGUUGGGUUUAAGGGAAGGGGCCAAUUCCUUCCUCAGAGUCAGAAUCCCUAUCAGGAAAGAUGCCCAUAUAUGGUGACCCACUCAGACUAAAUUGAUUCCUCCUAAGGAAUAUAUGAGAAACAAGGAAAAAGAACUACAAAAAAGCAAUUACGAUUACAAAAUUCGCCAAACCCCCCAUCACAAAGCCAUAUCUCAGCACAAGGUCAAUGUUUGAUUGUAAGCUCAAAAUCCCCAAAAAUGAUGUUUUUUUUUUCAUAGCUUAAAUGUAAAAAAGAAAAAAAAAAAGCCAUUUGUAUAGAUUUAGAUUAGAUUUGAAAGGCUAACGCGUUCCCGCAG
This 8694-nucleotide long non-coding RNA is filed under the name Vigna radiata. RNAcentral's name for it is "long non-coding RNA (VRAD_LNC007521)". The record is from RNAcentral. Lineage: Eukaryota; Viridiplantae; Streptophyta; Magnoliopsida; Fabales; Fabaceae.